Molecule: ribosomal RNA, 497 nt
Filed under: uncultured bacterium
Lineage: Bacteria
Description: partial 16S ribosomal RNA
Rfam family: Bacterial small subunit ribosomal RNA
Source: RNAcentral
GAUGAACGCUGGCGGCGUGCCUAAUACAUGCAAGUCGAGCGAACAGACGAGGAGCUUGCUCCUCUGACGUUAGCGGCGGACGGGUGAGUAACACGUGGAUAACCUACCUAUAAGACUGGGAUAACUUCGGGAAACCGGAGCUAAUACCGGAUAAUAUAUCGAACCGCAUGGUUCAAUAGUGAAAGACGGUUUUGCUGUCACUUAUAGAUGGAUCCGCGCCGCAUUAGCUAGUUGGUAAGGUAACGGCUUACCAAGGCAACGAUGCGUAGCCGACCUGAGAGGGUGAUCGGCCACACUGGAACUGAGACACGGUCCAGACUCCUACGGGAGGCAGCAGUAGGGAAUCUUCCGCAAUGGGCGAAAGCUUGACGGAGCAACGCCGCGUGAGUGAUGAAGGUCUUCGGAUCGUAAAACUCUGUUAUUAGGGAAGAACAAAUGUGUAAGUAACUAUGCACGUCUUGACGGUACCUAAUCAGAAAGCCACGGCUAACUACGUG